GUGCCAGCAGCCGCGGUAAUACGGAGGGUGCGAGCGUUAAUCGGAAUUACUGGGCGUAAAGCGCAUGCAGGUGGUUUGUUAAGUCAGAUGUGAAAGCCCGGGGCUCAACCUCGGAAUAGCAUUUGAAACUGGCAGACUAGAGUACUGGUAGAGGGGGGUAGAAUUUCAGGUGUAGCGGUGAAAUGCGUAGAGAUCUGAAGGAAUUACCGGUGGCGAAGGCCGCCCCCCAGGACAAGAUACUGACACUCAGAUGCGAAAGCGUGGGGAGCAAACAGGAUUAGAUAACCUGGAUAGUCC
Molecule: ribosomal RNA, 297 nt
Filed under: uncultured microorganism
Description: partial 16S ribosomal RNA
Rfam family: Bacterial small subunit ribosomal RNA
Source: RNAcentral